Molecule: long non-coding RNA, 334 nt
Organism: Panicum hallii
Lineage: Eukaryota; Viridiplantae; Streptophyta; Magnoliopsida; Poales; Poaceae
Exons: 2
Source: RefSeq, a predicted model, not a curated record
AAGAACCUAGAGAAGAAAUACGAGGAAAGGACAGGACUAACUAAUCCUGAAACUGUUGAUAACUAUCAGGGUACAAAGGAUGUCUUUAGUUUUUCGAGAUGAAGGGUUGUAGCAGACUCUGGAAAUUUUGCAAAUACAUCAUCAAGCUGAGCUUUAGCCUGAAGAGUUUUUGGGACAGCUCACACACUUGCACGCACACACACUACUUUAGUUGCAGUGUUGGCAAUCUUGCUAUGUCUAAUUUUCUGCAAUAUCAAUUGAACUAGAGACAGCAAGUUCACUAGUUACAAAUGAGGUUUAAUUUUUAAUGGUUAUGUCUGUAUUACUGUUUUAA